UACGUAGGGGGCAAGCGUUGUCCGGAAUCAUUGGGCGUAAAGCGCGUGUAGGCGGCCAGGUAAGUCCGUUCUGAAAGCCCGGGGCUCAACCCCGGGAGGCGGAUGGAUACUGCUUGGCUCGAGUCCGGAAGAGGCGAGUGGAAUUCCCGGUGUAGCGGUGAAAUGCGCAGAUAUCGGGAGGAACACCGAUGGCGAAGGCAGCUCGCUGGGACGGUACUGACGCUGAGACGCGAAAGCGUGGGGAGCAAACAGG
RNAcentral lists this ribosomal RNA (253 nucleotides) under uncultured bacterium. RNAcentral describes it as "partial 16S ribosomal RNA". It matches the Rfam family "Bacterial small subunit ribosomal RNA", at positions 524 to 776 of the family's 1533-position model. The record is from RNAcentral.